Molecule: long non-coding RNA, 229 nt
Organism: Pollicipes pollicipes
Lineage: Eukaryota; Metazoa; Arthropoda; Thecostraca; Pollicipedomorpha; Pollicipedidae
Exons: 3
Source: RefSeq, a predicted model, not a curated record
GACAAGGACGAGCGGCUGCAGGAGGCCACGCGCCAGCUGGACAACAGGGACGGCAAGCUAACGGCGGCGCAGGCGGAGGUGGCGGCCGCGCAAGCCGAGGUGGCGCGGCUCGAGGGGGAGCGGACGGAGCUGCGCUCCCAGAUCGAGGCCGGCGAUGGCGCGGCGGCCACCGCCCUCCGCCAGCUGGAGCAGCAGAACGCCAGCCUGCAGCAGGCGGUGAGCCAGCAGC